This 76-nucleotide transfer RNA is filed under the name Hyphomicrobiales bacterium. RNAcentral's name for it is "Rhizobiales bacterium (stromatolite metagenome) tRNA-Lys". It matches the Rfam family "tRNA". From Rfam's summary of the family: Transfer RNA (tRNA) molecules are approximately 80 nucleotides in length. Their secondary structure includes four short double-helical elements and three loops (D, anti-codon, and T loops). Lineage: Bacteria; Pseudomonadati; Pseudomonadota; Alphaproteobacteria; Hyphomicrobiales. The record is from RNAcentral. RNAcentral also lists the same sequence under 3 other names.
GGGCGCGUAGCUCAAUUGGCAGAGCAGCUGACUUUUAAUCAGCGGGUUCCGGGUUCGAGUCCCGGCGCGCCUACCA